AUACUCUGGUUUCUCUUCAGAUCGUAUAAAUCUUUCGCCUUUUACUAAAGAUUUCCGUGGAGAGGAACACUCAGAGUUUUAACUAAUUUUUUGUGGCCCUACUUUUCAGUAGGGC
Stegostoma tigrinum is the source of this 115-nucleotide small nuclear RNA. RefSeq annotates it as U5 spliceosomal RNA. The transcript has a single exon. The record is from RefSeq and is a predicted model, not a curated record. Lineage: Eukaryota; Metazoa; Chordata; Chondrichthyes; Orectolobiformes; Stegostomatidae.